CAGCCUGAUGCGCCAUGCCGCGUGUGUGAAGAAGGCCUUCGGGUUGUAAAGCACUUUCAGUCGUGAGGAAGGUAGUGUAGUUAAUAGCUGCAUUACUUGACGUUAGCGACAGAAGAAGCACCGGCUAACUCCGUGCCAGCAGCCGCGGUAAUACGGAGGGUGCGAGCGUUAAUCGGAAUUACUGGGCGUAAAGCGCAUGCAGGUGGUUUGUUAAGUCAGAUGUGAAAGCCCGGGGCUCAACCUCGGAAUAGCAUUUGAAACUGGCAGACUAGAGUACUGUAGAGGGGGGUAGAAUUUCAGGUGUAGCGGUGAAAUGCGUAGAGAUCUGAAGGAAUACCGGUGGCGAAGGCGGCCCCCUGGACAGAUACUGACACUCAGAUGCGAAAGCGUGGGGAGCAAACAGGAUUAGAUACCCUGGUAGUCCACGCCGUAAACGAUGUCUACUUGGAGGUUGUGGCCUUGAGCCGUGGCUUUCGGAGCUAACGCGUUAAGUAGACCGCCUGGGGAGUACGGUCGCAAGAUUAAAACUCAAAUGAAUUGACGGGGGCCCGCACAAGCGGUGGAGCAUGUGGUUUAAUUCGAUGCAACGCGAAGAACCUUACCUACUCUUGACAUCCAGAGAACUUUCCAGAGAUGGAUUGGUGCCUUCGGGAACUCUGAGACAGGUGCUGCAUGGCUGUCGUCAGCUCGUGUUGUGAAAUGUUGGGUUAAGUCCCGCAACGAGCGCAACCCUUAUCCUUGUUUGCCAGCGAGUAAUGUCGGGAACUCCAGGGAGACUGCCGGUGAUAAACCGGAGGAAGGUGGGGACGACGUCAAGUCAUCAUGGCCCUUACGAGUAGGGCUACACACGUGCUACAAUGGCGCAUACAGAGGGCAGCAAGCUAGCGAUAGUGAGCGAAUCCCAAAAAGUGCGUCGUAGUCCGGAUUGGAGUCUGCAACUCGACUCCAUGAAGUCGGAAUCGCUAGUAAUCGUGGAUCAGAAUGCCACGGUGAAUACGUUCCCGGGCCUUGUACACACCGCCCGUCACACCAUGGGAGUGGGCUGCAAAAGAAGUAGGUAGUUUAACCUUCGGGAGGACGCUUACCACUUUGUGGUUCAUGACUGGGGUGAAUC
RNAcentral lists this ribosomal RNA (1114 nucleotides) under Vibrio sp. 7518M. RNAcentral's name for it is "bacterial SSU rRNA". It matches the Rfam family "Bacterial small subunit ribosomal RNA", at positions 379 to 1486 of the family's 1533-position model. The record is from RNAcentral. Lineage: Bacteria; Pseudomonadati; Pseudomonadota; Gammaproteobacteria; Vibrionales; Vibrionaceae.